UAUUGGCUUGGUUUUGGUUAUGAUAUAAAUUAUUAUUAAAUUAAUACAUGUUAAGUUUAAAAUUAUAUUGUUUUACUUGAAUAUUAAUUUUUAUUUGAUUUAGUUUAAUAUUUAUUAAAUAAAAAUUAUUGUUAUGUUAAUAUUUUAUUAAUAUAAUUUUUAUAAAAGUUACGCAGUAUUUAUAUUUAUACAAUGAAUGGAAAUUUGAUAUAGUUAAUGUAAUUUAUGUAAAGUGGUUAAAUUGGUGCCAGCCGCUGCGGUUAUACCAAUACUUAAAAUUUAUAUUAAUACAGUAUAAAAUAAAGUAAUUAUAUAAAAUAUAAAUAGAGUAGGUGAGAUUAAUAAUUGUAAGUAAAAUUUAAUUAUUAAUAUUAUUUUUAUUUCUCUAUUGAAUAUAUUCUUUGAAAAUAAGAAAAAAAACUAGGAUUAGAGACCCUAUUAUUCUUUAUUUUAAAAUUUAUUCUAACUGAAGAAGUACAAAUAUAUUUUUAGUUGUUUAUAAAAUAGUAUACAUAUAUUUGAAAUUUAAAAGACUUGGCGGUGUUACAUAUCCUUUCAGGGGAGCUUGUUUAUUAAUUUGAUAAUCCUCAAUUUAUACUUACUUUUUUUUGAAUAUUAUACAGUUUGUAUAUUGCUGUCGUCAGUUUAUUUUGUGAAAUUUUAAAAACAUGAUAAUAAAUAAUUGUAAUGAUAAGUCAAAAUGCAGCUUAUAAAAAAGGUUUAUUAAGUGAGCUACAAUUUAUAAUUUUUAAAUACGAAUUGAAUUAUGUAAUAUAAUUUUUGAAGUUGGACUUGAUAGUAAUAAAAUAAAUAGUGUGUUAUUAUGAAUUAUGGUUUUGUAAUGCGUACAUAUCGCCCGUCGCUCUUACUGGAAGAUAAGAUAAGUCGUAACAUAGUAGGGGUAGUGGAAACUGUUCCUGGUAUAAA
Molecule: non-coding RNA, 927 nt
Filed under: Sepiadarium kochi
Lineage: Eukaryota; Metazoa; Mollusca; Cephalopoda; Sepiida; Sepiadariidae
Description: 12S ribosomal RNA
Rfam family: Microsporidia small subunit ribosomal RNA (bases 502-920)
Source: RNAcentral